GCGCAAAGGACAUUGUCUCUGCUUUUGUUGCCAAUAGAUUGUUUUAUACAUCUCCCGGACUUAUCAAACUCUUCCCAAACAGAAGAUUAUGUCUGCCCUUAAACUUGGUCUUGCGUCUGUACGGAGACUCCCUUCUACUAUCGCCGGACAUGCCGCCCAAAAGAUGUUAGAAGCAAUGGAUACGCUGCCUGCUUUUGGACCAAGUCAGUUCAGCAUCUUCGGGGUA
This is a long non-coding RNA of Haliotis rufescens (red abalone), 226 nucleotides long. RefSeq lists it as uncharacterized. The transcript has 3 exons. Lineage: Eukaryota; Metazoa; Mollusca; Gastropoda; Lepetellida; Haliotidae. The record is from RefSeq and is a predicted model, not a curated record.